Molecule: ribosomal RNA, 467 nt
Filed under: uncultured bacterium
Lineage: Bacteria
Description: partial 16S ribosomal RNA
Rfam family: Bacterial small subunit ribosomal RNA
Source: RNAcentral
GAUGAACGCUGGCGGCGCGCCUAACACAUGCAAGUCGAACGAUUAAAGCACCUUCGGGUGUGUAUAAAGUGGCGAACGGCUGAGUAACUCGUGGGCAACCUGCCCCUUUCAUUGGGAUAGCCACGGGAAACCGUGGAUAAUACCUAAUACUUCAAAACUUCCACAUGGAAGGCUCGAGAAAGCUCCGGCGGAGAGGGUUGGGCCCGCGGCCUGUUCGCUUGUUGGUGGGGUGACUGCCUACCAAGGCAACGAAGGGGAGCUGGGUUGAGAGACCGACAAGCCAGAAUGGGACUGAGAAGCGGGCCAGACGCCUACGGGAGGCAGCAGUGGAGAAUCUUGCAAGAAGGGCGAAAGGCGGAUGCAGCGACGCCGCGUGGGGGAUGAAGGCCGGCGGGUUGUAAACCGCGUUCAGCAGGAAAGAGGAGAAAGUGACGGUACCUGCAGAAGAAGCCACGGCUAACUACGUG